CCACACUGAUGGUCUUGUGGUUUUGUCCCUUGUCAACUAAAGAAGUUAAUACAGCAUCACCAUGUCCACUGCUGUUCACACUGUAUCAGACGCUGACAAUGAGUGCUGACAAGUGGAUAUUCCUUUUAGCCUUUUGCUUCAUGCACGCGUCUUCAAAUGGUGAGCACUUAUACGAAGAUUAUCACGAGGAUAAUCAGUGUGAAACACAGAAACUCAAGGCUUCUCUUGGCUCGUCUGUGUUCCUACCGUGCAGCUUAUCAACAAGUAGCCAAAACUGGGUGACAUGGACCCACAAUAGUGAGGCAGAGCUGGCAAAGCUCUUCUUUGAAGGGCGCGUCAAGUUCCUGGACCCCAGACAUGGCAGAGUGAAAGCUUUUCCAAACCAGGUCUCAGAGGGAAAUUUCUCCAUCCGCAUCGAUGAGCUGAACAACUCUGACCUGGGCAGCUAUCGCUGUAUACAGGGAGAUUACUGUCAAAAAGUGGAGUUGCUUGCUGACAGUACACUGAGCGAAGAGAUGAGGCUACUGAUUGUCAUCAGCGUUGCUGCUCUCAGUUUGCUGAGUGUUGGUGGAUACUACUUCUGCAAGGGACGCAUAGCAGGUGCCAGAGCUCCACCUGAGGGAACAGGCAGGGCAGUAGUACAUGAACAGCAGACAGGUAAAGUCUUGUUAAAGCUCAGCAGCUUCCUGUGCAGCAACUUGCAGCCUUUUCCUUUCCAUGGUCACAAACCUCAUCAGCCAAACGUCAGAAAAGACAAGAAAAUGAGCAACUGUUUCCAGUGACAAACCACAUCUACUUAUCGUGAAGGUACAAUGGAUCCAACGCUGAGGCUAAUUAAGAUCAUUGUUGGUCUUGUGAUUUUGGUGCUUAGUCUUGGAUUAUACUGCUGCAAGAAAUUAACAGAAGAUGAAAGUGAUCCACCUGAGGGAGAAGAUGGAGCACCGUUACAAAGACAGCAGAUAGUGUAGCGGCUCUUCCUCCCUCUGCUCUGGAUGUGCUGUUCACACAUUUGAGGACCAUCAAGCUGGUACCAGCAUUUCCCUUUAAUCAGCAGAUGUCGACACAGCAACCAGCACUCCUCUCAAAAUGCCGCCCAAACAAUGGGAUGUAUUUUACUUCAUAUUAUCUGCAAUUUAACAAGAAAAUCUGUAAAACAACAAAACUGUUAUAAAAAUUAUGUAGCGUUUUUCUGUGCUUAAUAAACAGCAAUCAUCUGUAAAAUAAAUACAUCAUUUCUGGAUUCAGAUACUGUAAAAAUGGUGCUAUUUUACAGUCAAAUGUCAAAAAACAAAUUACCGCUUGUAAAAAUAAAGAUUUUUGAUGUGGACAUCAUGUUUGUGACAGUUUGGGCCUCUUAUUUCUCAUUAUGCAGUAAUAAAAACAUUUUUGUUUGAGAUUUUACUAGUUCCCAAAUUACAAAUUAGUCUACUGACCAAAUUAGCAGUUGUUUUCAGUUGAAGCAAUUUCAUUUAUUAUUCUUGAAACACAAUAUUACACCAGUAAUAUUGUGCGUUUUUUUUCAUCAACC
This is a long non-coding RNA of Amphiprion ocellaris (clown anemonefish), 1528 nucleotides long. The record is from Ensembl. Lineage: Eukaryota; Metazoa; Chordata; Actinopteri; Pomacentridae.